UCACCUAUUGGACUGGGAGACCUAUUUGACU
RNAcentral lists this non-coding RNA (31 nucleotides) under Rattus norvegicus (Norway rat). Lineage: Eukaryota; Metazoa; Chordata; Mammalia; Rodentia; Muridae. The record is from RNAcentral.